CCAAAAUGAUAAUCACUAAUCG
Molecule: small nuclear RNA, 22 nt
Filed under: Arabidopsis thaliana (thale cress)
Lineage: Eukaryota; Viridiplantae; Streptophyta; Magnoliopsida; Brassicales; Brassicaceae
Description: snRNA_12973
Source: RNAcentral